GCCCACUAUAGUUUAUUAAAACAUUGAAUUGCAAAUUCAAAAAAGGAAUAGUUAUUCCUAGUGAGUU
This 67-nucleotide transfer RNA is filed under the name Aporrhais serresiana. RNAcentral describes it as "tRNA-Cys". It matches the Rfam family "tRNA". From Rfam's summary of the family: Transfer RNA (tRNA) molecules are approximately 80 nucleotides in length. Their secondary structure includes four short double-helical elements and three loops (D, anti-codon, and T loops). The record is from RNAcentral. Lineage: Eukaryota; Metazoa; Mollusca; Gastropoda; Littorinimorpha; Aporrhaidae.